UACGUAGGGUGCGAGCGUUAAUCGGAAUUACUGGGCGUAAAGGGUGCGCAGGCGGUUUUGUAAGUCAGAUGUGAAAUCCCCGGGCUUAACCUGGGAACUGCGUUUGAAACUACAAGACUAGAGUGUGGCAGAGGGGGGUGGAAUUCCAUGUGUAGCAGUGAAAUGCGUAGAGAUAUGGAAGAACAUCGAUGGCGAAGGCAGCCCCCUGGGUUAACACUGACGCUCAUGCACGAAAGCGUGGGGAGCAAACAGG
Molecule: ribosomal RNA, 253 nt
Filed under: uncultured bacterium
Lineage: Bacteria
Description: partial 16S ribosomal RNA
Rfam family: Bacterial small subunit ribosomal RNA
Source: RNAcentral